AGAUUGAACGCUGGCGGCAGGCCUAACACAUGCAAGUCGAGCGGUAGAGAGGUGCUUGCACCUCUUGAGAGCGGCGGACGGGUGAGUAAUGCCUAGGAAUCUGCCUAGUGGUGGGGGAUAACGUUCGGAAACGGACGCUAAUACCGCAUACGUCCUACGGGAGAAAGCGGGGGACCUUCGGGCCUCGCGCCAUUAGAUGAGCCUAGGUCGGAUUAGCUAGUUGGUGAGGUAAUGGCUCACCAAGGCGACGAUCCGUAACUGGUCUGAGAGGAUGAUCAGUCACACUGGAACUGAGACACGGUCCAGACUCCUACGGGAGCAGCAGUGGGAAUAUUGGACAAGUGGG
RNAcentral lists this ribosomal RNA (346 nucleotides) under uncultured soil bacterium. RNAcentral's name for it is "bacterial SSU rRNA". It matches the Rfam family "Bacterial small subunit ribosomal RNA", at positions 26 to 376 of the family's 1533-position model. The record is from RNAcentral.